This 482-nucleotide ribosomal RNA is filed under the name uncultured bacterium. RNAcentral's name for it is "partial 16S ribosomal RNA". It matches the Rfam family "Bacterial small subunit ribosomal RNA", at positions 30 to 507 of the family's 1533-position model. The record is from RNAcentral.
AUUGAACGCUGGCGGCAUGCCUUACACAUGCAAGUCGAACGGUAACGGGCCUUCGGGUGCCGACGAGUGGCGGACGGGUGAGUAAUACAUCGGAACGUGCCCGAUCGUGGGGGAUAACGAGGCGAAAGCUUUGCUAAUACCGCAUACGAUCUACGGAUGAAAGCCGGGGACCGCAAGGCCUUGCGCGGACGGAGCGGCCGAUGGCAGAUUAGGUAGUUGGUGGGAUAAAAGCUUACCAAGCCGACGAUCUGUAGCUGGUCUGAGAGGAUGAUCAGCCACACUGGGACUGAGACACGGCCCAGACUCCUACGGGAGGCAGCAGUGGGGAAUUUUGGACAAAGGGCGCAAGCCUGAUCCAGCCAUGCCGCGUGCAGGAUGAAGGCCUUCGGGUUGUAAACUGCUUUUGUACGGAACGAAAAGCCUUCUUUUAAUACAGGAGGGUCAUGACGGUACCGGAAGAAUAAGCACCGGCUAACUACGUG